CAUAUGGAUAAUUCAUACGUUCAGUUUGACGACGAUAACGUUCUGUUUCUUGUUGCAGUAGAGUAGAGAUACGCACGCCAUUCACCAUACGUGUUGGGAUAGUCUUGUUCUCUCUUUCUAUUUAUAACAUGUUGCACGGCACUUCGGAACCACGCUCGCACUGGUUCUGUUUCAUCUACCACUGCUUCAGCCAUCACUUCUGUUAUGAUGAUUUAAUAGAAAAACAAUCAAAAGAUAGAUUAUUAAAAAUUUUUAAUAUGUGAAUUAUGUCACAUUAUAAAUAAGGAAGGCAAUAUAGUAAGAUGAAAACGCAA
Molecule: long non-coding RNA, 314 nt
Organism: Pogonomyrmex barbatus (red harvester ant)
Lineage: Eukaryota; Metazoa; Arthropoda; Insecta; Hymenoptera; Formicidae
Source: RefSeq, a predicted model, not a curated record